AAUAGAUACCCAGGUAGUCCACGCCGUAAACGAUGAGUGCUAAGUGUUGGGGGGUUUCCGCCCCUCAGUGCUGCAACUAACGCAUUAAGCACUCCGCCUGGGGAGUACGGUCGCAAGACUGAAACUCAAAGGAAUUGACGGGGGCCCGCACAAGCGGUGGAGCAUGUGGUUUAAUUCGAAGCAACGCGAAGAACCUUACCAGGUCUUGACAUCCCGGUGACCACUAUGGAGACAUAGUUUCCCCUUCGGGGGCAACGGUGACAGGUGGUGCAUGGUUGUCGUCAGCUCGUGUCGUGAGAUGUUGGGUUAAGUCCCGCAACGAGCGCAACCCUUAUUCUUAGUUGCCAUCGUUCAGUUGGGCACUCUAAGGAGACUGCCGGUGAUAAACCGGAGGAAGGUGGGGAUGACGUCAAAUCAUCAUGCCCCUUAUGACCUGGGCUACACACGUGCUACAAUGGACGGUACAAACGGUUGCCAACCCGCGAGGGGGAGCUAAUCCGAUAAAACCGUUCUCAGUUCGGAUUGUAGGCUGCAACUCGCCUACA
Molecule: ribosomal RNA, 545 nt
Filed under: uncultured bacterium
Lineage: Bacteria
Description: bacterial SSU rRNA
Rfam family: Bacterial small subunit ribosomal RNA
Source: RNAcentral